Molecule: long non-coding RNA, 859 nt
Organism: Argiope bruennichi
Lineage: Eukaryota; Metazoa; Arthropoda; Arachnida; Araneae; Araneidae
Exons: 4
Source: RefSeq, a predicted model, not a curated record
AACUCUAUUUUCCCUUUAGUUCCUAGUUGGAUGUCAACGGCAAGAGAGAAAAUUUUGCAGCAACAUUGUGCUCAGCUAUUCUGAAUCCAUCUGUGAUUUCCAUCAAGAAUUUAUUUUAAACUGCGGCAAUCCGCUGGUGCUGCAAGUUACAAAGUUAUUUCACCUAUUAGAGAAUUCAGACUAAACCAAGAGCACUCAAUAAAAAGUGUAUCCAGUAAAUAUACAGCCUUUUCAUGGAAUACUUCUUGUAACCGAAGAUAUUUCUGAAAUAUUUAUUGAUAUCACAUCAACUCUGGAACCUUUCCCUACUGGAGGAUUGGAAGAACUUUUUUUCAGCUGCAAAUAGUUGGAAGGUCCGAUUUUGAAAUUCUUCGACACACGGGGCAGGAUUAGCAAAGAGUAAGAUUAAAAGAAAUCUUUUUGCAUCCUAUUGAUGGUCGAAUGGAGAGUAAUAUCUGCUUUUUAGCUAGAAAUCAAGCCUUCAGAAAGAACAAAGAUUCAUUUUGAGAAAGUUAUCCAUCUUUUACUACCAAAUCGUUCCAAUCCCUCAUCCUGGAGAGGGGCCUGUGGUGGUUGUCAUUUGAUGAUUCUCUGGAAAAACUGAAUGCCAGAGUUUUUGCUUUUACAAGAAAUAUAUUAUUCUAUCAUUCGUAAAAAACUAUCGACAAACUCCACCCUUAUUAAAUUCUUACUGCAGCUUCAAAGAGUGGUGGACCGAUACCGUGGAUAUAAUAUGUAAUGAGAAGAGAGAAUAAAACAUCUUAAUCUCGAAGAAAUAUAUUAUCAAUUCGACAGGGAAAUUUUGUUACGAUAACAAUUCUGGUAUACGAUAACAAUUCAACAUACAAAGACAUCCUCU